Molecule: ribosomal RNA, 122 nt
Organism: Pteropus vampyrus (large flying fox)
Lineage: Eukaryota; Metazoa; Chordata; Mammalia; Chiroptera; Pteropodidae
Source: Ensembl
GUCUACGGCCAUGCUACCCUGACUGAACAAGCCCGAUCCUGUCUGAUCUUGGAAGCUAAGCAGGGUCAGGCUUGGUUAGUACUUGGAUGAGAGACCGUUAGGAAGACUGGGUGCUGUAGGUG